UAGGGAAUCUUCGGCAAUGGACGAAAGUCUGACCGAGCAACGCCGCGUGAGUGAAGAAGGUUUUCGGAUCGUAAAACUCUGUUGUUAGAGAAGAACAAGGACGAUAGUAACGGAACGUCCCCUGACGGUAUCUAACCAGAAAGCCACGGCUAACUACGUGCCAGCAGCCGCGGUAAUACGUAGGUGGCAAGCGUUGUCCGGAUUUAUUGGGCGUAAAGCGAGCGCAGGCGGUUUCUUAAGUCUGAUGUGAAAGCCCCCGGCUCAACCGGGGAGGGUCAUUGGAAACUGGGAGACUGGAGUGCAGAAGAGGGGAGUGGAAUUCCAUGUGGAGCGGUGAAAUGCGUAGAUAUAUGGAGGAACACCAGUGGCGAAGGCGGCUCUCUGGUCUGUAACUGACGCUGAGGCACGAAAGGGUGGGGAGCAAACAGG
Molecule: ribosomal RNA, 429 nt
Filed under: Gemmatimonadota bacterium
Lineage: Bacteria; Pseudomonadati; Gemmatimonadota
Description: Gemmatimonadetes bacterium partial 16S ribosomal RNA
Rfam family: Bacterial small subunit ribosomal RNA
Source: RNAcentral